RNAcentral lists this ribosomal RNA (155 nucleotides) under uncultured Coniochaeta. RNAcentral's name for it is "5.8S ribosomal RNA". It matches the Rfam family "5.8S ribosomal RNA". Rfam says of the family: 5.8S ribosomal RNA (5.8S rRNA) is a component of the large subunit of the eukaryotic ribosome. It is transcribed by RNA polymerase I as part of the 45S precursor that also contains 18S and 28S rRNA. Lineage: Eukaryota; Fungi; Ascomycota; Sordariomycetes; Coniochaetales. The record is from RNAcentral.
AACUUUCAACAACGGAUCUCCUGGAUCUGGCAUCGAUGAAGAACGCAUCGAAAAGCCAUAAGAAAUGUGAAUUGCAGAAUUCAGAGAAUCAUCGAAUCUUUUAACGCACAUUGCGCCCGCCAGUACUCCAGCGAGCAUGCCUGUUCGAGCGUCAU